AUUGAACGCUGGCGGCAGGCCUAACACAUGCAAGUCGAGCGAGCGGCGGACGGGUGAGUAAUGUAUGGGGAACUGCCUGAUGGAGGGGGAUAACUACUGGAAACGGUAGCUAAUACCACAUACCAUCGGAUGUACCCAUAUGGGAUUAGCUAGUAGGUGGGGUAACGGCUCACCUAGGCGACGAUCUCUAGCUGGUCUGAGAGGAUGAUCAGCCACACUGGGACUGAGACACGGCCCAGACUCCUACGGGAGGCAGCAGUGGGGAAUAUUGCACAAUGGGCGCAAGCCUGAUGCAGCCAUGCCGCGUGUAUGAAGAAGGCCUUCGGGUUGUAAAGUACUUUCAGCGGGGAGGCGUUACCCGCAGAAGAAGCACCGGCUAACUCCGUGCCAGCAGCCGCGGUAAUAC
RNAcentral lists this ribosomal RNA (406 nucleotides) under uncultured bacterium. RNAcentral describes it as "partial 16S ribosomal RNA". It matches the Rfam family "Bacterial small subunit ribosomal RNA", at positions 30 to 526 of the family's 1533-position model. The record is from RNAcentral.